AGGACGAACGCUGGCGGCGUGCUUAACACAUGCAAGUCGAGCGGUAAGGCACUUCGGUGUACACGAGCGGCGAACGGGUGAGUAACACGUGAGUAAUCUGCCCUUCACUCUGGGAUAAGCACUCGAAAGGGUGUCUAAUACCGGAUACGACACAGGUUCGCAUGAGUUCUGUGUGGAAACUUUUCGUGGGUGGGGAUGUGCUCGCGGCCUAUCAGCUUGUUGGUGGGGUAAUGGCCUACCAAGGCUUCGGACGGGUAGCCGGCU
Molecule: ribosomal RNA, 264 nt
Filed under: uncultured soil bacterium
Lineage: Bacteria
Description: partial 16S ribosomal RNA
Rfam family: Bacterial small subunit ribosomal RNA
Source: RNAcentral